CAGGGGAUAUUAUUAUUUUGUUAACUUCGGUGGUUAGUUUCGUUCAAUUCGCAUUUAUUCUCCUCUUUUUCAGUUUUUCAGGCAAUCUUUUCUUGUUAUCGGCAAAUUUAUUUUGCUUUUUCUCUUUCGUUCUUUAUCAAUUUCCACUGCUGCUUCCCGGCGUCAAACGAGAAUCCACCAAGAGUUUCUUCUGUCGGGUUUUGUUCUCGUCAAUUUGGAAUUAAUUCGCGGUUUCGAAAUUUAAAACGAUUCGACGCGCAGUAAAGUUCGUUAUGGUUUUCGUUCUCACAGAAUGAGAUAAAGUUCAUCAAGGGUGGACGGUUUGUCGCCAAGAAACGGUACGUGGAAGAGGAGUUUCGAAGAAGAAGGUCCAUUUCCAAGGAUAAAAUUAUAUUUACACGUGAAAACAGGCGUAAGAAUAGCAGAACUUGGAAGUUACAGAACCAAGUAGUUGAAAAAAAAGAAAAAAAAACCAUUUACAGCGUGUCAUCGUCACAGAAUGAUGAUAUUCGAUUAUUCGUUUUAGAAUCUAUAUCCGCUUUUCCUUUUUUUUAUUGCUUCCUCAACUUGCAAAAGCGAUCUUCAAAAGUCAAAAAACACAUGUUUCAACGAUAUCUUUUGUAUCGAGGGAUCCCCAAAUUUCUCGCCAUCUUCUCCAUUAAGAAUUGGAAAACGGUUUUUUCCAACGAAUCAAUCGUCAUUUUAUCGUACAAACGAUUCAUCGACGCAUCGAUGAUUCUCUUCGCGAACAAAGGCCAAAUUUAGGAACCGCUCUGAUCCAACGUUAUGAUCCAUUAACGCUUUACAGGUUAUACGAUGUUACAUCACUCGAAUCAAUAAUUAGAUAAGGCUAAUACCAAAUGUCCGCAUCAUGCCAAUUAGCUAUAAAAAAAAAAAGAAAAAAAAAAGAAAGGAAAAAUUAAAUAAGUACUUUCGUAAGCCAGCAACCGAUCGCGAAAUUUUACAUCCCAGGAGAACGAUCUCGCGAUGUAUAGAUGUAUUACACUGCGUAAAACACGCUGUACAUAAUCGUAAUUGGAGAGGGAGAAGUGGGGGGAAGAGAGAGAUAAAUAUAUUCCUCAACUUUUAUUCGUUCAUUAUGAUACUUUGUACGUAAGUGAAUAAGCGAGUAAGUAAAAAUUGUUCGAGUUGCAAUUGAUCCAUCUCUUUCGAAUUUAUGCUCGAACAAUUCUCGUUGGAUAUUGACGCUGCUAAAACUACGUUGAAAUACGCGCUGGAAUAUUUUUUCCGCUCCAGUUUAUCACGUCGAUGCAAAGUUUGAGUCGUUAACGAUCGAUGCCGCACUACUACUAAUUGGUUCGAUUGGUUAAAUCGACGAUUAACGAUUUAUCACCGAUUCAGGCCGAGCCGUUACUUUGUAUGGAAGAUUGGACGAGGAUCGAAAAGAAAGAAAGAAAGCCGGUUUCGUUGAAAAAUCGGAUAACAGGAAGUGACGGCGCGUCCUCUCGGCGAGGUCGCCGACCCUGGCGAGGAGGCAAUUCUAAAAUAGUGCACGACGGUUGUAGUAUCGGCCACGAAAAUUAACCACCUUCCCCUCACCCUCGUGAAACGUGAUAUCCGUUUUAGAAAGUUUUAAGAAUAAUACCGCUCUCGGUUAACGAUUUUCCUCGAGCUUUCUCUGUCCUUAUGCCUCCUCCUCGAGGGAACAACAUCGGUUUCUCAUUGGAACCGAGUAAAAGUGUUACGAUUCGGCGCGAAGAUAUGUAUAUUUUUUUCUCAUGCGAUGCUAUAGCGAUAAAAUAUAUGUGAUAAUUAUUUUCCAUCUAAACUUCGUUAAAACAGAUCGUUCGAUAAUUAGGGGAAAUAUUUUUCGAAUAUAAUUCGAAAUAUUAAAUAUAGAUUAUUUGUAGAAAUAACGGGCCACAUGAGAAAGAAUUGCCCUUAAUAAAAGGAAAAAAAAUUGGAGAAGAAAAUGUCAUGUAUCCUGUCACGCGACAUAACGUGCGUUUUAUUAUCUUCUGCAGCGAUAUUGGAACUUAAAGAAAUUAACCUACAACAACUUGUAUAAAUUUUUAUUAAAUAUAUAUAUAUAUAUAUAUAUUACAAAAAUUAAAUUGAACAUUCGAAUUUUUCCUAAAAAAAAAAGAAAAAAUUAAUUUUUCGGGGUCGAAGAAAAACAAGAUAUUUAUUCUCCAUAAUAUCUCUAUAAUACCUCGAGUCGAUCAAAAGCGUUCUUGAUUUUUGCCGUCUGAGAAAAAUCUAUCGAAAUAUUCUUCAAGAUAUCCAUUUACAAGCAAAACCAGCUUGAACUUUACCGCGGAAACAGCGUAUUGCUUGGCUCCUCUCGACAAAAAAAGAUGAAAGAAAUUUGAACAAACGUUCGUUUAAAGAGAAGGAGGAGACGUAGAAAGAAUACGAAAUGGGGUUUCUUUCCUCUUUCACACGGGAUGAAAGGCAGGCGUCCCUCUCCUCCUAUCAAGAAGAUCGCGACGUCAAAAUGUCUUUGAAACGAGUAAAGCGUGCAGUGAGGAGAAGAGCGUUGAUUGUGGGAGAGGAUAGGAAUAGAGAACGCGGUAGACAACAAUUAUCUCCUGGCAAAGAGAAAGGUUCUCGUGGCAAGUCACGAGAGAGGUCAACCGUGGCAACUCUCGAACACGGAAUCGUCGAGGUGAAAAAGAAAAAAGGCAAGACACGUCAUCUUCUUUUCCAAAUAUUCUUUUUCUUCUCGCCAACGAUUAAUACAAUAAAAAAGAAAGAGGAAAAUGGAUCAAUGGAUCGAAUUACGAUAUUGUCGAUCAUCAAGUAUCGAUCCUAAUUUCACGGUAUAAAGACAAUAUAAAGAUAGGACUGAGGGACGUCUAAUUUAUCCCUGGCAAGGAUUCAAUGAACGGCUUAUAAAUUUCGCGGUAUGGUAUGUAAAUGUAUUUGUACUUGGCCUAGAAAGGUGUUUGAAAAAAAAAUCGGUUCGACAUUGCCAAUAAAUCGAUCGAUCCCUCUUCUUGAAAUCGAGUGGAAUAUCAUCGAACUGUUCGUGUCUUUCUCAAUUCUUAAAGCAUCUCCUCCCAUUUGACGAAUUUUUAAUCGUUUGAUAAAGUGUAUUAUCCGUUUCGCUCGAUCGAAGCGAAAAAUUCCAAGCAGAAUUACGAAGAAGAUAUUACUUCAUGCCUAGAGUCACGAAACAACGUCCUCGUUCUCUUCUUCUUAACGAGCUGCACGUCACAAACAUAACUAUAAUUAAGAAUCGCGGCAGUCUCUCAAAAGAAACUCGUAUACGUGUGCAGUAUGUGUGUAUAUGCACGUGCUUCUUAGCAUAUGGACUGUGAAACAGUAGGCUAAUCGUUUGCAAGUUUGCAACUCACGAUCUUAAUUGUAAAUAAAUAUAUACAUAGUAGCUGUAAAAGCUUUUCACGUUAUUGCAAUUAAUCAGUAUUACGUGAUAUUUCAUACAUCGUUCGAUAAUACGAAAAUUUGAUUGAAGAAAAUACUGCGUAAAUACUUUUUGUACAGCCUGUACAUCAAAGUCGAAGAAGAUCGUCCACAAAGUUUCGAGCAUCGAUUCGCCGUAAGUACAACACAGGGAAUAACGUGUUACACGCAACUUAAACGGAAGAUUAAUUCUGUGCCGAUGCUUACACACGUGAAACGUCUUGCUAUCUAUUCGAUGGAUCGUAGAUUUCUGUGAAACGUUACGCUGAAUUAAUUUGAUUCAGGUAUCAUCGCUAUAAAUAACAGACCACUCGAAUUCGCCAGAGAUUCUAACAGUAAUUACCAUCAAAGAGGAUCUUUGAAGUUCGAGAAAUCGUUUGAUGCGGUGUUAAUUGGAAUCAAAGUUUUCGCCAAGUCUUAAGAAUCGUUUGCGAGGAUUAAUUUUAAUCUUUCUGUGACCUAUUUUCUUUCAAACUACUGUAUGAAUAAUGUGGAGCAAUGUGUAUUCAGCAAUUAUGCGAACAUGCGUGACCGUGCAAAUUAAUUACUCUUCCCGAUCAAUAUAUUUCCAUCUUCUGUUUACCAUUUUCUACGUUGUAUUAAAUUGCUGCGCUUUGUUCUUUUUUCCUUUUUUAUUUUAACAUUUGUUCCUUUUUUUUUCUGAUUUUUGAUAUCUUUUGCAAAUAAAAAGAAAAAAUACAAAUAAUACGAUACAAAUAAAAAGUUCUUUUCUUUUUUAUUCAUAAUCGAUCAUUUCCAUAUAGGGAUUAAAAUCGCAUAGAAGACGAUCCAAUUGAUCGAAUCACAAAUGAAGCAUUCUAAAAAAAUAAAAAAACAAAUUUUGAAACGAUAUUCUCGACUGAUUCAUCCUCGUCACGUAAAAUGUAAAACAUUUUCGAAAGAAGCGCGCGGGAGCAUUUAUUUCGAACGAUACUUGUCUAUUUGUGGCUAAGCCGUCCCUGAGCGCCGAUUACGUCACCACGGCCACGUGACUCGCUGAAUCUCAUAAUGGUCCAUAUUCGCCUCCCACGUAUCGAUGCAAAACGAUGAUCCAUCAUCGAUUCCGUACACCUGCUUGAUUCUCCCAAUCGUUUGAUCAAAAGAAAGAAAUGGGUCGAAAUCUGAUUUUUAAAUUUGUGAUUUUACUAGAACUGGGUUAAGAUCUCGAAACACUGAUGACCUUACUAAAGAAGAUUCAGAAGUUUUUUUUAAGAAAUUUUGAGGUUUCAAGUAAAUUUUAAUCCUUAAUUAAAAUUAUCCAACGAUUCAAUAUAUAUUUUAUUUAAUCUUUAUAUAAUUCAAUUUUUCAUACAUUUAUGUUCUCCUUUGUUUAACGAGCAACAGAUAACCUAACCUAAAAAAAUCUUUUACACCGAAAUGAAGUGAGAAGAAAUUCUAGUGGAAUGAUUUUAAAAACACUAUUUUAGGAUCACACGGCUUGCAAGACUUAGUUUCCACAUGCUCUCGACACUGUUUGAAUGAUUUAUAACAUUUAACCAGCAUAGACCUUGACGGCUAACCUUCUCCGCAUUAUUUUAAAAGCUUCUGAUGGAUUUCUGAUACUUCCAUGCUUCGCUUGUGAAGCGAAGUUGCACGGAAGCUAUUAUCUCUUCUCUCAUUAUGCAUAAUUAUGUAUUGAAUUUUUGGAAGCAAACGAUUCAUGCAUAUUCCAAGCGAAACCGUACGACUAUCUAUACAGCUGUCACGGUACAUGCCAGUGUUUUUCAACCUUUUUUGAUGUUCAAAUAACUUGCGAUUUUCUUCGAUGUAAGUUUGCGAUCCACAGGUUGGGAACCACUGGUGUAUACAAAAGUUUACGCUAUGCUUACGCUGGAGAGAAGCCAAACGAAAAACGCAAAAAUGCAAAUCUGCCUUUAUGCCACCUACCGAAGUUUGAUCACUGUUUUGUGAUCCGGUGGAUAUACAUUCCGGUCGAUUAUGUCCAUCGGUCACAAUUCGCAAUUUACCGAAAAUGAAACGAGACGAUCGAAAAGAAAUUGAAGAGGAACGAUUCGAUAUGUCGGCUGGAACGAGGUUAGAAAAUUACUGCGCAAAAUAUUCAACGCAAGCUCCUCACCUUUUCCACACGUUGCAAUUGCAAUUUAGUUCACGAUUCCGAGUGGGGACACACCGCCACUGCGACGUGUCAUUGUCAAGGAUAUACAUUGACGCAAUAAACAUGUCCUCUCUAACCUGACCAAUCAUUGCUUUUAAGAAAAGAGGAUUUGCUUUAACGAUUUUUUAAAUUCCAUCAACAGAAUAUACUUAUAGUAAGUACACUUAAGUCAGGAUUAGAUAUUGAUAUAUUCUUCGAAUAGAUUUAAAUUCUCCAUAGAUUUGAUUUGAGAAUGUGAAAAAUGUUAUUAUAGAAUCCACGCAUUGCAAAGUAUUAUGACAUGCAUGUGUAAUCGACACUCGCAAUUUACGUUCAUUCUAGGUUAUGUCAUUUAUAUCACGAAUCGUUCCAAGUGUUUUUUAAUAUCUAACGUGAUCAAAUUACAAAUAUUGUAACACGUCGUAAUACAGUAUCAAUUGUUUUUAAUGAGUAACGAUUUGAAAACUUCUCUAUUACAUGAAAUGCAAAGUAUUUAGUAUUGAAAAGAAUAUUUUUUUGCUGGAUGACGCGACGAUGCGGUAUCACGAAGUAUUUAACGAGAUUACAGGAAGGAACGUGUUCUUUGUCACUGCAACAAGUUGUGUUAAACGGUCACCCAUUAUGCAAUGUAUCGUUCGACUAAUGACCGACAUAUGUCAUUCAUUUACAUAAUGAUUGAUAGAUGAAAAAUUAUCACAUAUCGUUCGAUGUCUAACCAAUUUCGUGUUUCGAUAAAAUUAUUAUCAAUCUUUUAAUUUUAAUUAAGAUUUUAAUAUUUUCGAAUUAUUAAAAUUUUAUGCAAUAAAGAAAUAAAUUUUGUUUAUUUGUUGGAAUAUAAUUUAACGAAUUCUUAUUCGUUAUAAAAUAAUUAUAAAAUAACGAAUAAUUUUAAAUUUUUAAAAUUGUAAUUGUAAAUAAAUAAUAGUAUAAAAUA
Molecule: long non-coding RNA, 6416 nt
Organism: Apis cerana (Asiatic honeybee)
Lineage: Eukaryota; Metazoa; Arthropoda; Insecta; Hymenoptera; Apidae
Source: RefSeq, a predicted model, not a curated record